CAUGUCUGUCUCUGUGGCACACA
Molecule: microRNA, 23 nt
Filed under: Rattus norvegicus (Norway rat)
Lineage: Eukaryota; Metazoa; Chordata; Mammalia; Rodentia; Muridae
Description: rno-miR-6316
Source: miRBase by way of RNAcentral